GAGCCCUGACCCAGCUGUGUCUCAGUCACACUAAUGCAUUCACUCAGUUCUCGCCACAAGGGCUCAAGUGCAACAUUUAAAUUCCACAUGGUGGCCUGCUCCUCCUGUUCCCCAUCACUGUCCAGCCCUGUAUUCUCAUUAACACUGGAUGAGUUGAGCGAGCUGAGUGCCUGCAACACACGCAAGAUUGCUGCCCCAGCCAUGGAACCUGCACUAAGACCCAGCAUCUGUGUAUUCCUCAGAGUGACAAGCUCACUGACAGCUGAAUUGCUCAAACUAUGAGCUAAUUCUGAAAGCUCUGAACUGAAGAACUU
Molecule: unclassified non-coding RNA, 314 nt
Filed under: Hevea brasiliensis (rubber tree)
Lineage: Eukaryota; Viridiplantae; Streptophyta; Magnoliopsida; Malpighiales; Euphorbiaceae
Source: RNAcentral